UAAGUACUCCCUCCGUUCGGAAUUACUUGUCAUAAAAAUGGAUGUAUUUAGAAAUUUUUUAGUUUUAGAUACAUCUAUUUCUGUGGCAAGUAAUUCGGAACAGAGGGAGUAUGAC
Molecule: non-coding RNA, 115 nt
Organism: Triticum aestivum (bread wheat)
Lineage: Eukaryota; Viridiplantae; Streptophyta; Magnoliopsida; Poales; Poaceae
Source: Rfam